This 120-nucleotide ribosomal RNA is filed under the name Pteropus alecto (black flying fox). The record is from RNAcentral. Lineage: Eukaryota; Metazoa; Chordata; Mammalia; Chiroptera; Pteropodidae.
GUCUACGGCCAUGCCACCCUAAACACGCCCAAUCCCGUCUGAUCUUGGAAGCUAAGCAGGGUCAGGCCUGGUUAGUACUUGGAUGGGAAGACCACUUGGAAAGACCAGGUGCUGUAGGCA